Molecule: ribosomal RNA, 404 nt
Filed under: Actinomycetes bacterium
Lineage: Bacteria; Bacillati; Actinomycetota; Actinomycetes
Description: Actinobacteria bacterium partial 16S ribosomal RNA
Rfam family: Bacterial small subunit ribosomal RNA
Source: RNAcentral
UGGGGAAUAUUGGACAAUGGGCGCAAGCCUGAUCCAGCCAUGCCGCGUGAGUGAUGAAGGCCCUAGGGUUGUAAAGCUCUUUCACCGGUGAAGAUAAUGACGGUAACCGGAGAAGAAGCCCCGGCCAACUUCGUGCCAGCAGCCGCGGUAAUACGAAGGGGGCUAGCGUUGUUCGGACUUACUGGGCGUAAAGCGCACGUAGGCGGACUUUUAAGUCAGGGGUGAAAUCCCGGGGCUCAACCCCGGAACUGCCUUAGAUACUGGAAGUCUUGAGUAUGGUAGAGGUGAGUGGAAUUCCGAGUGUAGAGGUGAAGUUCGUAGAUAUUCGGAGGAACACCAGUGGCGAAGGCGGCUCACUGGACCAUUACUGACGCUGGGGUGCGAAAGCGUGGGGAGCAAACAGG